UACGUAGGGGGCGAGCGUUGUCCGGAAUUACUGGGCGUAAAGCGCCUGUAGGCGGGAAGUUGCGUCGGACGUGAAAGGCGGGGGCUUAACCCCCGAGCGGCGUUCGAAACGGACUUUCUUGAGGGUCGAAGAGGAGCGUGGAAUUCCCGGUGUAGCGGUGAAAUGCGUAGAGAUCGGGAGGAACACCCAUGGCGAAGGCAGCGCUCUGGUCGGCAUCUGACGCUGAGAGGCGAAAGCGUGGGGAGCGAACGGGAUUAGAUACCCCGGUAGUCCACGCCGUAAACGAUGGUCACUAGGUGUCAGCGGUAUCGACCCCGCUGGUGCCGCAGCUAACGCAGUAAGUGACCCGCCUGGGGAGUACGGCCGCAAGGUUGAA
This 376-nucleotide ribosomal RNA is filed under the name uncultured bacterium. Its description in RNAcentral is "bacterial SSU rRNA". It matches the Rfam family "Bacterial small subunit ribosomal RNA", at positions 524 to 898 of the family's 1533-position model. The record is from RNAcentral.